GGGCGUGUGGUCUAGUGGUAUGAUUCUCGCUUUGGGCGACUUCCUGAAUAAACAGGAAGACUAGGCAUGCGAGAGGCCCUGGGUUCAAUUCCCAGCUCGCCCC
Molecule: transfer RNA, 103 nt
Filed under: Saccharomyces cerevisiae (brewer's yeast)
Lineage: Eukaryota; Fungi; Ascomycota; Saccharomycetes; Saccharomycetales; Saccharomycetaceae
Rfam family: tRNA
About the family: Transfer RNA (tRNA) molecules are approximately 80 nucleotides in length. Their secondary structure includes four short double-helical elements and three loops (D, anti-codon, and T loops).
Source: RNAcentral